UCUCCGUAGGUGAACCUGCGGAGGGAUCACUACAGGCUUGCAAAAGCUCUGAAACCACUGUUUAUCUACCUGAAUCUGCUUCGGCGGGCGGCCUCAGGGCGGGGCCGUAGCCGCAAGGCGCCCGCCGAAGACCCCUAAACUCUGUCGUCUUGAGAAUCUCUGAGUAUCAUAUUAAACAGAAAACAACUUUCAACAACGGAUCUCUUGGCUCUCGCAUCGAUGCAGAACGCAGC
This 233-nucleotide unclassified non-coding RNA is filed under the name plant metagenome. Its description in RNAcentral is "partial contains small subunit ribosomal RNA, internal transcribed spacer 1, and 5.8S ribosomal RNA". The stretch from base 185 to 233 matches the Rfam family "5.8S ribosomal RNA", at positions 1 to 49 of the family's 154-position model. The record is from RNAcentral.